AUUUGCUAUGUUCUGGCCGUCAUAGAAAACUCAGGCGCUGCUGGAAGACUGAAGUCGACAGUAUUCAUGGCUUUGUGUGCCUGAUCAAUAUACUGUACUACACAAGUGGGAGAGGCGCUAAGUAUUUUCAACAUUAUUUUUUUCUUCUUUAGUCUCCCCUAAUUAUUUUGGCUUAGCCACGUUUUAACAUUUAUAUAUCUGUAUUUUAUUAAAAUGUUGAAUAGAUGUGUGUGCACAUAUACAUAUAUUUUAGUGUGUACAGUAAUCACGUGACUGAACGUCACAGUCUAGCACUCGAGCGUGUUUAUAGAUCAUUCUUUUGCUGGGGUGCAGCUUACUGCCGAAAACCUCAUAUACACUGUGUUGUUCCCGUGUUAUUAUAUUAAUUAGUCACGCAAGUAUAGCAGGUUUUUCUUCGUAUAACUACUUGGAAAAAUGGAAAUAAUAGUGAAUCCUGGAUACUAAAUUCGUCAAAUACUUGAGUAGAACCAGACCUUGAGGAUCACUGGGACCCAUGUCAACCCGUCGGUGCUGGAGUAUCAAGAGGGUGAGACACAAGACACAGUCUUUGUCCUAUAACAAUGGGAAAGCAGUUUGGAUAUACACCAUCAGUGAGAGUGGUGAAAAGACUGACCCUUCCUGUAAGAGAGGAAAGACAGAACUUCCCUGUAAGAGAGGAAAGACGGACUUCUCCAGUAAGAGAAGCAAGGCAGCACUUUCCCGUUAGGGAGGUGAAAAAUUCUCAAGCUGCCUGGUCAAAAUUAUACGCAGUGUGUAUGAACACUUGCUGUUUUGGUGGAAGGAACAUUUCACCUCAUAGUGGCUUAAUCACUCGCACCGACACCAUUGUCAUCUCCAGGACACUACCCUCAGGGAGUUCUUGCUGACGUGAGUUGAAAUGCUGCCUACUUUAAUAAUGCUGGGCGGUUACAUGGAAAUGGAUAUUUCGUGUCAAAAAAGAUAUAUGAAGUCAAAUUUGUCACACAAAGUGGAUGUGUAAUGAUAAAAUGAAACCACUGUGCUUAUUCUAGGACUGGCAACAGUAAUACGGUAUUCAACUUUUUUCUUUUUUUUUCAUUUAAAAUAUCAGUUUUGCAUAUUUUCGUAUAUCUUCAGUGUAAUAUAUCUGACAGCCAUGCCAUCACUGAAUGUAAAAAGUGUCUUCUAAGUUGACAAUAACAGAGAGUGAAAUUCAAGUGGCUAGGUGCAGAUUUUAAAAUUUUGUGUAAAAUUGUGUGAAAUUUUGACUUUCAUUUACUGAAGCCUUUUCUAAAUAGCUUUAGUAAUUAAUGCCUGAUGCAUCUUAUACCCAGGAUAGUACACAUCCUGCUUAAUUUGACUAUGGACAAAUUUGUCAAAGUAAUAUACAUUUUUAAACUUUGAAUCAUUAAAGCUGUCAUUAAUUGGGCAAUGUUAAAAACAGAAUCUAUUUUAGAGGAUUAUAGAUCUUUUAAAAUGCAAAAAAAAAAAAUUCAAGAAAUAUUGAAAACUCACCCUUUUAUAGUGUUUUUAAAUUUUUCGAGUUGAAUGAUCCUAUAAAUACCGCAUGGCAUGAUGCCAGAGCCGUCCAUCUGUUAGCUACAGCUUCCUCAUACCACUUAAAGCUUUCGUUCAUAAUUUCAGAAUGCCUUAUUCAAUCGGCUUCAGAUUUCAAACCCUGGUCAACCGUUACUAGACAGAGGUUCGUAGAGCAUUUGACUUAGGAUGCCGAUAAAAAGAUCCUCUUUUGAUCGGCAUCAUAAUUUCAGGUAUCUCUGUGUGAUAAACUUAAAUCAUUAUUGGUUAUAAAUUCACAUAUAUACACUAUGCACAUAACAGUGGUACUGGUGGUGGUGAUGGCGGUAAUGAUGUUAAUAUUAGUAAUGAUGACGGACAUAUAUGCACAUGCAUACAUGUAUAUAUAAUACACAUACACAAGUAUGCAUUUAUACAUGUAUAUGUACAUAAAAGUUACAUAAAUUUUCAAUUCAGCAACCCAGUUUCUCAAUUUGUGCAUGGUGUGGCAAAUUUUACUUAUUCGCCACAUCUUUGGUAGGUUCGUCAGGAAAAAGGAAAAGUUUCCUGACGUGGGUCCUAGUCAUAUGAUGACCCGCAGCUGGAGCUUCUGAUCAUCUGACCGAGGCCUUCCACUGGCUUACCGGUCCACCCUUUAAAAAUUAUAGUUAUAAUUAUAACUAUUGGAUAUUUUCGCCACACCUGUGGCUACAUAUAAAUAUAUGUUGCUCACUUCUGGCCUACAUGAAGUGGAACAAUACAGAUAUGUAAAUAAUAAAAAUAAAUACGUAUUUUAAUCAACUAUAAGAUAAAGAGUAUUAAUAAACUAUUCUAAGUUAGUUUUGAUCAA
Long non-coding RNA from Cherax quadricarinatus, 2344 nucleotides. RefSeq lists it as uncharacterized. Lineage: Eukaryota; Metazoa; Arthropoda; Malacostraca; Decapoda; Parastacidae. The record is from RefSeq and is a predicted model, not a curated record.